Molecule: ribosomal RNA, 430 nt
Filed under: Fusobacteriota bacterium
Lineage: Bacteria; Fusobacteriati; Fusobacteriota
Description: Fusobacteria bacterium partial 16S ribosomal RNA
Rfam family: Bacterial small subunit ribosomal RNA
Source: RNAcentral
UGGGGAAUAUUGGACAAUGGGCGCAAGCCUGAUCCAGCCAUGCCGCGUGUGUGAAGAAGGCCUUUUGGUUGUAAAGCACUUUAAGCGAGGAGGAGGCUACUUGGAUUAAUACUCUAGGAUAGUGGACGUUACUCGCAGAAUAAGCACCGGCUAACUCUGUGCCAGCAGCCGCGGUAAUACGGAGGGUGCGAGCGUUAAUCGGAUUUACUGGGCGUAAAGCGUGCGUAGGCGGCUUUUUAAGUCGGAUGUGAAAUCCCUGAGCUUAACUUAGGAAUUGCAUUCGAUACUGGGAAGCUAGAGUAUGGGAGAGGAUGGUAGAAUUCCAGGUGUAGCGGUGAAAUGCGUAGAGAUCUGGAGGAAUACCGAUGGCGAAGGCAGCCAUCUGGCCUAAUACUGACGCUGAGGUACGAAAGCAUGGGGAGCAAACAGG